This 366-nucleotide ribosomal RNA is filed under the name uncultured organism. RNAcentral describes it as "bacterial SSU rRNA". It matches the Rfam family "Bacterial small subunit ribosomal RNA", at positions 526 to 896 of the family's 1533-position model. The record is from RNAcentral.
CGGAGGAUCCAAGCGUUAUCCGGAAUCAUUGGGUUUAAAGGGUCCGUAGGCGGUUUGAUAAGUCAGUGGUGAAAGCCCAUCGCUCAACGAUGGAACGGCCAUUGAUACUGUCAGACUUGAAUUACUGGGAAGUAACUAGAAUAUGUAGUGUAGCGGUGAAAUGCUUAGAUAUUACAUGGAAUACCAAUUGCGAAGGCAGGUUACUACCAGUGGAUUGACGCUGAUGGACGAAAGCGUGGGGAGCGAACAGGAUUAGAUACCCUGGUAGUCCACGCCGUAAACGAUGGAUACUAGCUGUUCGGAGCAAUCUGAGUGGCUAAGCGAAAGUGAUAAGUAUCCCACCUGGGGAGUACGUUCGCAAGAAUG